AGUGAACGCUGGCGGUAGGCCUAACACAUGCAAGUCGAACGGCAGCACAGUAAGAGCUUGCCCUUACUGGUGGCGAGUGGCGGACGGGUGAGGAAUACAUCGGAAUCUACUUUUUCUUGGGGGAUAACGUAGGGACACUUACGCUAAUACCGCAUACUACCUACGGGUGAAAGCAGGAGAUCUUCGGACCUUUCGCGAUUGAAUGAGCUGAUGUCGGAUUAGCUAGUUGGCUGGGUAAAGGCCCACCAAGGCGACGAUCCGUAGCUGGUCUGAGAGGAUGAUCGGCCACACUGGAACUGAGACACGGUCCAGACUCCUACGGGAGGCAGCAGUGGGGAAUAUUGGACAAUGGGCGCAAGCCUGAUCCAGCCAUGCCGCGUGGGUGAAGAAGGCCUUCGGGUUGUAAAGCCCUUUUGUUGGGAAAGAAAAGCAGCAGGUUAAUACCCCGCUGUUCUGACGGUACCCAAAGAAUAAGCACCGGCUAACUUCGUG
RNAcentral lists this ribosomal RNA (492 nucleotides) under uncultured bacterium. Its description in RNAcentral is "partial 16S ribosomal RNA". It matches the Rfam family "Bacterial small subunit ribosomal RNA", at positions 29 to 507 of the family's 1533-position model. The record is from RNAcentral.